UACGUAGGGGGCUAGCGUUGUCCGGAUUUAUUGGGCGUAAAGAGCGUGUAGGCGGCCAGGUAGGUCUGCUGUGAAAACUCGAGGCUCAACCUCGAGACGUCGGCGGAAACCAUCUGGCUAGAGUCCGGAAGAGGAGAGUGGAAUUCCUGGUGUAGCGGUGAAAUGCGCAGAUAUCAGGAAGAACACCCGUGGCGAAGGCGGCUCUCUGGGACGGUACUGACGCUGAGACGCGAAAGCGUGGGGAGCAAACGGG
Molecule: ribosomal RNA, 253 nt
Filed under: uncultured bacterium
Lineage: Bacteria
Description: partial 16S ribosomal RNA
Rfam family: Bacterial small subunit ribosomal RNA
Source: RNAcentral